Molecule: long non-coding RNA, 1152 nt
Filed under: Homo sapiens (human)
Lineage: Eukaryota; Metazoa; Chordata; Mammalia; Primates; Hominidae
Description: long non-coding RNA NONHSAT204575.1
Source: RNAcentral
AUUACCCAGAACUCUUUGUCUGGGUCAGUCAAGAACCAUUUCCAAACAAGGACAUGGAGGGAAGGCUUCCUAAGGGAAGACUUCCUGUCCCAAAGGAAGUGAACCGCAAGAAGAACGAUGAGACAAACGCUGCCUCCCUGACUCCACUGGGCAGCAGUGAACUCCGCUCCCCAAGAAUCAGUUACCUCCACUUUUUUUAAUCGUAACACCUCCAUUUGUAUUACAUAUGGUGUAUGGGUAUUGAUGAGGUCAUGGUAUCAUAUAUGGGAUUUUUUUCUGUGUAAAUCAUCAAGUAUAAGAAGAAACUAUGGGACUCUGAGCCUUGCUUUAGAGAAUUUACAGUGGACAAAUAGGUGUCAUCAAACCAGUUUUUAAUCAUUCUGACUCAAGUGAAAACGCUCAGAAUUUCACACUGUGAAUCCACGUUUACAACCCUUACAGGUGGGCCUUCAGGCCUGGUUCGCUACAACAAUGUCUUCCACAACUCAAACUCCCACCGCGCUCACACAACCGGUCCACUCCUGCCUUUUCACUCACACAGCUCCCGACUGCUUCUUGCAGAGGCUGAGAGUCCCCCCCCCACCUUUUUUUUCAUUUAGAUGUAACAAACCUAGUAGUUUAUGUUCAUCAAUUGUCUGUAUAUCUCUAUAUUUUAUCCAUGUACUCUUUUGAUGUAUAGAAGUAGUUUGAAACUCAUUGUUUCCUUGUGGUAAGUGACCGAGAUGCUGCCACAGGACCUGAGACACUGAUGAAUGGUGCUAUUUUGGACUUUCAACAUGCUCCUUGGCGAGGUAGCUCUGAUGGAGUUAUUUUUUAUUUCCAUGUUCUAAGAAGGUGUUGGUACUCUGUUUCCCUGAAUGUUGUUCUCUAGACUGGAUUGACUUGUUUUCCUUGUGUCUUCAGUGUGGCUUUCUUCCUCAGUGUUGUAGGUUGAGCGAAUGCUACCAGAGUGUGAGAGACCAUUGUCUCGUUGGCUGGCGCUCACGGACAUGCAGUCACGGUAGCGGGAGCAAUCACAAAACUGUAAUUUACUUACCAAAUCUCUUCCUUUCCGUAGCCUCGCCUGCCUGACUUAGAGAAAGAAAAGCAAUAAUUUUACAGGCAUUUUGAGGUGUCUCUUUGGGUUCUUUCUGUUUGAAAGGAUAUUUGUCG